This 206-nucleotide ribosomal RNA is filed under the name uncultured bacterium. RNAcentral's name for it is "partial 16S ribosomal RNA". It matches the Rfam family "Bacterial small subunit ribosomal RNA", at positions 568 to 774 of the family's 1533-position model. The record is from RNAcentral.
CGCGUAGGCGGGAUGGCAAGUCGGUCGUGAAAUCCCUCGGCUCAACUGAGGAUCGUCGAUCGAUACUGCCGUUCUUGAGGAUUGCAGAGGAGACUGGAAUUCCCGGUGUAGCGGUGAAAUGCGUAGAUAUCAGGAGAACACCCGUGGCGAAGGCGAAUCUCUGGACCGGUUCUGACGCUGAGGAGCGAAAGCUAGGGGAGCAAACA